ACAAUUCACGCAAGUGAGAUGGGGUUACCUCGAGUGCUGCCUGAAUAAGGUGGCUUUUCCGCUGUGUAGCAAGCCUUGGGAAUAAGGGGGGGGCAAGACUGGUGUCAGCCGCCGCGGUAACACCAGCCCCCCGAGUGGUGGGGAUGAUUAUUUGGCCUAAAGCGUCCGUAGCCGGCUCUGUAAAUCUCUCGUUAAAUCCAGCGUCCUAAGCGUUGGGCUGCGAGAGAGACUGCAGAGCUAGAGGGUGGGAGAGGUCAGCGGUAUUCCUGGGGUAGGGGCGAAAUCCAUUGAUCCCAGGAGGACCACCAGUGGCGAAGGCUGCUGACUAGAACACGCCUGACGGUCAGGGACGAAAGCUGGGGUAGCGAACCGGAUUAGAUACCCGGGUAGUCCCAGCCGUAAACGAUGCAUGCUAGGUGUUGGGUCGGCCACGCGCCGCCUCAGUGCCGCAGGGAAGCCAUUAAGCAUGCUGCCUGGGGAGUACGGCCGCAAGGCUGAAACUUAA
Molecule: ribosomal RNA, 505 nt
Filed under: uncultured archaeon
Lineage: Archaea
Description: bacterial SSU rRNA
Rfam family: Archaeal small subunit ribosomal RNA
Source: RNAcentral